AAUCUACUCUUUCGUGGGGGAUAACGUAGGGAAACUUACGCUAAUACCGCAUACGACCUACGGGUGAAAGCAGGGGACCUUCGGGCCUUGCGCGAUUGAAUGAGCCGAUGUCGGAUUAGCUAGUUGGCGGGGUAAAGGCCCACCAAGGCGACGAUCCGUAACUGGUCUGAGAGGAUGAUUAGCCACACUGGAACUGAGACACGGUCCAGACUCCUACGGGAGGCAGCAGUGGGGAAUAUUGGACAAUGGGCGCAAGCCUGAUCCAGCCAUACCGCGUGGGUGAAGAAGGCCUUCGGGUUGUAAAGCCCUUUUGUUGGGAAAGAAAUCCAGCCGGCUAAUACCUG
RNAcentral lists this ribosomal RNA (344 nucleotides) under uncultured bacterium. Its description in RNAcentral is "bacterial SSU rRNA". It matches the Rfam family "Bacterial small subunit ribosomal RNA", at positions 123 to 467 of the family's 1533-position model. The record is from RNAcentral.